Molecule: ribosomal RNA, 497 nt
Filed under: uncultured bacterium
Lineage: Bacteria
Description: partial 16S ribosomal RNA
Rfam family: Bacterial small subunit ribosomal RNA
Source: RNAcentral
GAUGAACGCUGGCGGCGUGCCUAAUACAUGCAAGUCGAGCGAACAGAUGAGGAGCUUGCUCCUCUGACGUUAGCGGCGGACGGGUGAGUAACACGUGGAUAACCUACCUAUAAUUCUGGGAUAACUUCGGGAAACCGGAUCUAAUACCGGAUAAUAUAUUGAACCGCAUGGUUCAAUAGUGAAUGACGGUUUUGCUGUCACUUAUAGAUGGUUCCGCGCCGCCUUAGCUAGUUGGUAAGGUAACGGCUUACCAAGGCAACGAUGCGUAGCCGACCUGAGAGGGUGAUCGGCCACACUGGAACUGAGACACGGUCCAGACUCCUACGGGAGGCAGCAGUAGGGAAUCUUCGGCAAUGGGCGAAAGCCUGACGGAGCAACGCCGCGUGAGUGAUGAAGGUCUUCGGAUCGUAAAACUCUGUUAUUAGGGAAGAACAAAUGUGUAAGUAACUAUGCACGUCUUGACGGUACCUAAUCAGAAAGCCACGGCUAACUACGUG